CGCAUCUGUGCAUGCAGCAUAUCAAUAAGCGGAGGAAAAGAAACUAACAAGGAUUCCCCUAGUAACGGCGAGUGAAGCGGGAAGAGCUCAAAUUUGAAAUCUUAAAGGGUUUCCCUUUACGAAUUGUAGUUUAAAGAAGUGUUUUCUGUUGAGGUUUUGGUAAAAGUUCUUUGGAAUAGGACAUCAUAGAGGGUGAGAAUCCCGUAUUUGACCUUUACUUUCAACUUUGUGAUACACUUUCAAAGAGUCGGAUUGUUUGGGAAUGCAGUCCAAAAUGGGUGGUAAAUUUCAUCUAAAGCUAAAUAUUGGCGAGAGACCGAUAGCGAACAAGUACCGUGAGGGAAAGAUGAAAAGAACUUUGAAAAGAGAGUUAAACAGUACGUGAAAUUGUCAAAAGGGAAGCGUUUGACACCAGUGUUGUUUUUCUGAAAAUCAAUUAAAGAACUGUUUAUGCUAAGUUGUUUAGACUUUAUCAGCUAACUGUUUAGUUUUGAGCUUUUCUUUAAUGCACUUUUCAGUUAACAAGUCAACAUCAAUUUCUUUUGCUGUAAAAAAGCUUGAGGAAGGUGGCUUGAGAUUCGUCUUAAGUGUUUAUAGCCUCUUGCCUAUGCAGUCGGAGAGAUUGAGGUCUGCAGCGUAGAUCCUUCGGGGCUAAAUGCAUUUGUGCUAAGUUAUAACAUUUUAUAGACAACUUGUUGACUAUGAUUUGUCUUGUAGCUUACUCGCUUAUGUUAUUUUACCUACGCUUAGGAUGUUGAACGCGCACAGAGUCUC
This 774-nucleotide ribosomal RNA is filed under the name uncultured Neocallimastigales. Its description in RNAcentral is "partial large subunit ribosomal RNA". It matches the Rfam family "Eukaryotic large subunit ribosomal RNA", at positions 26 to 611 of the family's 3401-position model. The record is from RNAcentral. Lineage: Eukaryota; Fungi; Neocallimastigomycota; Neocallimastigomycetes; Neocallimastigales.